CUUUGGGAGCUUGCUCCUGAAGGUUAGCGGCGGACGGGUGAGUAACACGUGGGCAACCUGCCUAUAAGACUGGGAUAACUUCGGGAAACCGGAGCUAAUACCGGAUAAUUCUUUUCUACACAUGUAGAAAAGCUAAAAGACGGUUUACGCUGUCACUUAUAGAUGGGCCCGCGGCGCAUUAGCUAGUUGGUGAGGUAAUGGCUCACCAAGGCCACGAUGCGUAGCCGACCUGAGAGGGUGAUCGGCCACACUGGGACUGAGACACGGCCCAGACUCCUACGGGAGGCAGCAGUAGGGAAUCUUCCGCAAUGGACGAAAGUCUGACGGAGCAACGCCGCGUGAGUGAUGAAGGUUUUCGGA
This 360-nucleotide ribosomal RNA is filed under the name uncultured bacterium. RNAcentral describes it as "bacterial SSU rRNA". It matches the Rfam family "Bacterial small subunit ribosomal RNA", at positions 70 to 422 of the family's 1533-position model. The record is from RNAcentral.